This 268-nucleotide ribosomal RNA is filed under the name uncultured Lactobacillus sp. RNAcentral describes it as "partial 16S ribosomal RNA". The stretch from base 1 to 207 matches the Rfam family "Bacterial small subunit ribosomal RNA", at positions 338 to 537 of the family's 1533-position model. Lineage: Bacteria; Bacillati; Bacillota; Bacilli; Lactobacillales; Lactobacillaceae. The record is from RNAcentral.
CCUACGGGAGGCAGCAGUAGGGAAUCUUCCACAAUGGACGAAAGUCUGAUGGAGCAAUGCCGCGUGAGUGAAGAAGGGUUUCGGCUCGUAAAACUCUGUUGUUAGAGAAGAACGGGCGUGAGAGUAACUGCUCACGUCGCGACGGUAUCUAACCAGAAAGUCACGGCUAACUACGUGCCAGCAGCCGCGGUAAUACGUAGGUGCCAGCAGCCGCGGUAAUACGUGCCAGCAGCCGCGGUAAUACGUAGGUGCCAGCAGCCGCGGUAAU